RNAcentral lists this ribosomal RNA (497 nucleotides) under uncultured bacterium. RNAcentral describes it as "partial 16S ribosomal RNA". It matches the Rfam family "Bacterial small subunit ribosomal RNA", at positions 28 to 507 of the family's 1533-position model. The record is from RNAcentral.
GAUGAACGCUGGCGGCGUGCCUAAUACAUGCAAGUCGAGCGAACAGACGAGGAGCUUGCUCCUCUGACGUUAGCGGCGGACGGGUGAGUAACACGUGGAUAACCUACCUAUAAGACUGGGAUAACUUCGGGAAACCGGAGCUAAUACCGGAUAACAUGUUGAACCGCAUGGUUCAACAGUGAAAGACGGUCUUGCUGUCACUUAUAGAUGGAUCCGCGCCGCAUUAGCUAGUUGGUAAGGUAACGGCUUACCAAGGCAACGAUGCGUAGCCGACCUGAGAGGGUGAUCGGCCACACUGGAACGGAGACACGGUCCAGACUCCUACGGGAGGCAGCAGUAGGGAAUCUUCCGCAAUAGGCGAAAGCCUGACGGAGCAACGCCGCGUGAGUGAAGAAGGUCUUCGGAUCGUAAAACUCUGUUAUUAGGGAAGAACAAAUGUGUAAGUAACUGUGCACGUCUUGACGGUACCUAAUCAGAAAGCCACGGCUAACUACGUG